Bubalus bubalis (water buffalo) is the source of this 3645-nucleotide long non-coding RNA. RefSeq lists it as uncharacterized. Lineage: Eukaryota; Metazoa; Chordata; Mammalia; Artiodactyla; Bovidae. The record is from RefSeq and is a predicted model, not a curated record. The transcript has 3 exons.
CAAGAAUUAGGCUGAGUGCUGGAGACUUAAAUUGGUGAUUCCCGAACUUUCCAAAACUUUGGAAAACUUUUAAGACACAGAUUCCCAAGGACUUAUCCAAGACGUAUUGAGAUCAGAUAGACCAGCUAGGCAAGAAGUGGAAGAUGAACUUGGACAGGAGAGGAUGAGAACCUUUGGUUCAACAGUGGGAGGAAGAAGGAUCUUCCAUCAGGAGGACCAGGGAGCUGACAGCAAGCAGCCUUGGGGCUGUGCUUCAGCAAUGAAGGACCAAUUCUCCUGCCCACUCCCAUCACCUCUACAUCAUCUAUGGACAACACCCAUUCAAUGAUCUGGCCCCUAGACUAAGCUUCCAGAAGAAAGGUGGAUGGACAGCUUCUGUGGCAAUGACCACUUUCAUAGAGGCACUGGCUAGGAUCAGUGGAAGUCCCCCAUGAGUCAUGGCUGUGGUGGACACAUCAUUUCUAUUACAUAGGCAUUAGGGCAGGUAUUUGAUAGCAGAGUUUCUAGACCUGAGCACAACUGACAUUUUGAUAGACAAUUCAUUGUUAUUUGCAAUAUUAUGCACUGUGGAGCACCUGCCUCCUACUUGUAACACCUAAAAAGUGUCUCCAGAUAUAGCCAGAUGUCCACUGGGGAGCAAAAUCACGCCUGUGAUGUGGGGCAGGGAACCAGUGUUCUACAUAAUAACUUCAUAAUAGUGCCACAAUCCCCACGGCACAGAAGACAACACUGAAUUAGAGAUAGUCAGUCGGCUGUCCAAGGUUCCAGGACCAGUGAACGGUUUGCUUUGUUUGAAGCAUGUGUUUCUUUAGCAUUCUGCCUCUCUUCAUGGGACUUAAGUCUAGCUCAGAAUCUUUAAAAUAGUAGGCAUUUCGUAAAUGUUUGUUACGUUAAAUAAUACAUGAAUGAAUGACAGGAUUUUCCCAUUUUAAUUCUGUAGGUUCUUAUCCUCCAUCGAAGUAAAUAGGCAGAAAUUUUAUAGUCAGUAACAAGGACCACUGAGCCUGAAGCAGUGAUAAUCAGCCUUGUUCACAUCGAUGUCCAAAGGUCUCUCACCUGGAGUGGCCCAAGAGGCAUAAGGCUUUUCUGAAAAGCUACUGAGAGAGACCAGAGAGAUCACACCAGCUGUGUGACAGCCUGAGACACAGGUGAUCUACAAGAAAGAAGAACGUCUUGCUGUCAUGGUUAUCACUACUCCCUUGGGUAAACAGUCUUCAUAUCUGUAUCAGAUAAAUAAAAAAGCAGAAGGGGGACCUCGCUGGUGGUCCAGGGGUUAAAGACCUUGCCUUCCAGGGCAGAGGGUACAGAUUCCAUCCCUGGUGGAGGGGCUGAGACUCUUGCAUGCCUGCCUCCUGGCCACAAAAACAAAACAGAAGUAAUAUUGUAACAAAUUUAAUAAAGACUUAAAAAAAUGAUUCACAUCAAAAAAAAAAAAUCUUAAAGAAACAGAAACAACAGUAGGACUCCUUCCCCUCCUUCUUUAUAUGAAUGGUUUGAGGUGUAUAUGACACUCAUACAAAGAAGAACUUUGGCCUGGGAGUCAGGAGACCUGGAUUCCAGGCCUGAUUCUAAUUAACCAUGGGAUGUGAAUACAUCAUUUGGCCCCUGAGACUGUUUCAUUGUCUGAUAUUUAGAAAUGGAGACACACGAUGGCUCAGAUCUUUUCUGAAUCUCUUGUUCUUUGAACCCAUGUGUAUUAGACGAUCAUCUACUGUUCUUUUCUAGAUCUCUUGUUCUCUGGACUUGUGUAUAUAAGAUUGCCAUUUACUGCAGUAUUAAAAGCGUCUGCUGUAAGCCAUUUCUGUGAAUUGCUAUAGAAUUUAGAUUGGAGCUGGAAAAAUCAAUAACCAAGUCACCAAACAUAUAAGUUAGCUCUCAUGACUUGAUUAUCUCUAUGCAUUGCAAAUAGCUUGGAUUUAAAUAUUUAUGAUUUUGCAGCCGGUUCAGGCAUGUAGUCAUUCUGUCAUGUAUUGAAUAAAAAAUAAUCAAUGGAAAAUAAUGCCCUCAUCAAGCUCCAGUCAAACUGAAUGUUGAAUAGCCUAACUGCAGACAUGGCAGAUUUUCUUUAAAUCAAUCUUCCAAAAGGAGUCCUACACUUAUAAACACCCAACAACCACUCUUUCCUGUGGAACCACUCAAAUUUCUGUCUCUACUGCUGCAUUUGUGACAUUCUCUCCAUUCCGAAUAUUCUAGCAACUCUCAAAAGUCUACUACAGAUGGACAGUGAGGUCUCUUGAAUUUUCUCAUGAGAGGUAACACUUUCUGCCUCUGAAUUCUUUCAGUCAAAAAACGUUGAGUACUUUCUCUGUUAUAUUCCCUGGAGCUCAGAGCCGAGGAAAUGAUUGCUGAACCCACAGAGGUAUAUGCAAGGUGUUCUAAGAGCAUCUAUGCCCUGUAAGACUAAGGUGAGGUUACCUGAGUAAGGUAGGGAAAUGGUACAAGACAAGGGUGACAGGCAGGAGAAAGGGGGACAGUUGAUGUCACUGUUUCAUUCUGCAAUCACCGCAGCUUAAUACAUAAGACCCUGUUUCAGGAGCAUGAACUGUAAGAAAGCAUCAUUCAUAAAUCUAUACAGGAAGGUGAAGGAUGAUUUGUGUAAGGUGGCUUAAGCCAGUGCAAGUCUAAUGAGGGGGUGGACAUGAUCAGAUUAGUAUUUUAUAGGAGAGCUCUCUGACAACCGCAUGGAAGAUAGGACAAAGAAAGACAUAACCAGCUAGGAGAAAAGUGAGACAUUCAGGAAGCUGUUGGAGUGAAACAGAUCAGAUAUCCUGAUAGUGAGCACAAAGGCAGUAGUCAGGAAGUGAACAGGAACGUUAAGUUAAGAAUAUAUUAAGAGGUAAAAGUCCACCAAACAUUAUUGUAUAUGAUGCUUAAAGAAAAGGCAGGAAUUCAUGAUGCUAUCCUGAUUUCUGGCUUGGAAGAUGAAGUGGAUGAUGGUGGUUUUCACCAGCUUGAGGAACAGAGCAGGUCUGGGGGUAGAAUAAAUUUAUAAUUUGAGGUAUAUUGAGUUUGGAGUGCCAGUGGCACAUGUCAAUGGAAAGGUCCUUUAGGCAUUGAAAUACAUAAAAUCAAAAACUCAGGAAAGCGAUAUGAGCUAAAGACAUAGAUUCUUUAACCUUUUUACGGUGAAAUAUAACACACACCCAUAAAAGUACAGCCUAAUGAAUUAUAAAUUAACCAUUCAUGCAACUCGGGUCAAGAAAUAAGGCCCUUCCAUUUUCAAAGCCACUUGAAUACCUUUUCCUAAUCACAGCCAAGUCCCUCCCUCCCAACAGAAUAACCAUCUUGAUUUUAUGGUAAUCACUUUCCUAUUUUCUACUUUAAUGGCACCCCGCUCCAGUGUUCUUGCUUAGAGAAUCCCAGGGACAGGGGAGCCUGAUGGGCUGCCGUCUAUGGGGUCGCACAGAGUCAGACACGACUGAAGCGACUUAGCAGCAGCAGCAGCAGCAUUUUCUACUUUUAGCACGUAAUUCUUAAUCCCUCCAGCUUAAUUGUACCCAUUUUGAUCUUUAUAAUGACGUGGAAUGUAUUUUUUAUGACUAGUGUCUUGUCUCCUAUAUAUUUGCAAAAUAAAUCCAUGAUGCUUGCUGUGAGUCACUGUGGUUCAUUUGUUUUCAUUGUAAUAUAGUAUCCAGUUUUAUUUUU